RNAcentral lists this ribosomal RNA (406 nucleotides) under uncultured bacterium. Its description in RNAcentral is "partial 16S ribosomal RNA". It matches the Rfam family "Bacterial small subunit ribosomal RNA", at positions 30 to 526 of the family's 1533-position model. The record is from RNAcentral.
AUUGAACGCUGGCGGCAGGCCUAACCCAUGCAAGUCGAGCGAGCGGCGGACGGGUGAGUCAUGUCUGGGAAACUGCCUGAUGGAGGGGGAUAACUACUGGAAACGGUAGCUAAUACCGCAUACCAUCAGAUGUGCCCAGAUGGGAUUAGCUAGUAGGUGGGGUAACGGCUCACGUAGGCGACGAUCCCUAGCUGGUCUGAGAGGCGGACCAGCCACACUGGAACUGAGACACGGUCCAUACUCCUACGGGAGGCAGCAGUGGGGAAUAUUGCACAAUGGGCGCAAGCCUGAUGCAGCCAUGCCGCGUGUGUGAAGAAGGCCUUCGGGUUGUAAAGCACUUUCAGCGGGGAGGCGUUACCCGCAGAAGAAGCACCGGCUAACUCCGUGCCAGCAGCCGCGGUAAUUC